Molecule: ribosomal RNA, 396 nt
Filed under: uncultured bacterium
Lineage: Bacteria
Description: partial 16S ribosomal RNA
Rfam family: Bacterial small subunit ribosomal RNA
Source: RNAcentral
AUACGUAGGUGGCAAGCGUUGUCCGGAAUUAUUGGGCGUAAAGCGCAUGUAGGCGGUUUGGUAAGUCGGUCGUGAAAAUGCGGGGCUUAACGCCGUAUGGCGAUCGAAACUGCUGAACUUGAGUGCAGGAGAGGAAAGGGGAACUCCCAGUGUAGCGGUGAAAUGCGUAGAGAUUGGGAGGAACACCAGUGGCGAAGGCGACUUACUGGACUGUAACUGACGCUGAGGCGCGAAAGUGUGGGGAGCAAACAGGAUUAGAUACCCUGGUAGUCCACACUGUAAACGAUGAAUGCUAGGUGUAGGGGGUAUCGACCCCUUCUGUGCCGCAGUCAACACAAUAAGCAUUCCGCCUGGGGAGUACGGCCGCAAGGUUGAAACUCAAAUGAAUUGGCGGGG